Molecule: non-coding RNA, 278 nt
Filed under: Chlorobium ferrooxidans
Lineage: Bacteria; Pseudomonadati; Chlorobiota; Chlorobiia; Chlorobiales; Chlorobiaceae
Also listed under: 1 other name
Source: RNAcentral
AUCAGUUCUUUUUUUUCUGGUGCCGGACUUGAAAUGGUCCGGAUAAUAGGGAAGUACGUGAGAUUCGUACACUGUACCCGCAACUGAAAAACGGUUCGCUGGAGAGGGGAGGCAAACAACCCAGUUUGUUCAUUUUCUAUUCAGCAGGAUCAAGCCACGUCGUUAUCCGAGAUGUUACCACCGGAGAGACGGGGGAAGGCUUUUUCCACAUUGAACGCCUGCCGAAAGGGCAGAAAACCGUUGAUAGUCAGGAGACCUGCCGGAAAGCUAUUGCCGUA